This 75-nucleotide transfer RNA is filed under the name Candidatus Dojkabacteria bacterium CG_4_10_14_0_2_um_filter_Dojkabacteria_WS6_41_15. RNAcentral describes it as "tRNA-His". It matches the Rfam family "tRNA". Rfam says of the family: Transfer RNA (tRNA) molecules are approximately 80 nucleotides in length. Their secondary structure includes four short double-helical elements and three loops (D, anti-codon, and T loops). The record is from RNAcentral.
GUGGCUGUAGCUCAGUGGUAGAGCGCCCGCCUGUGGAGCGGGUGGUCGUGGGUUCAAAUCCCAUCAGCCACCCCA